AGAGAGCGAGAGAAAGAGAGACUGUUAAAGGACAAAAGGAGUGAUCGAUCUGGAUUUAGAAAGAAGGAGAAGAGCGAUUUAAUUUUCGGUUUGUUUUGGCUUGGUCGGAGGAAUUUGAGGUUUACUGGUCGUGUUGGAAGGGGUGUGCCUGAAGAAGAGGUCAUUGUGAGACAGAGUAAAAGUCUGAUCUUUUAAUAUAUCGAAUAGCUGUAAAGGAUAUCGCUAGGCGUGCAUUACACUUUGUAGGAGAUAAAGCAUGUUGCCUCCAACAUAAAGGAUUCUGAAG
Molecule: long non-coding RNA, 286 nt
Organism: Rosa chinensis
Lineage: Eukaryota; Viridiplantae; Streptophyta; Magnoliopsida; Rosales; Rosaceae
Exons: 3
Source: RefSeq, a predicted model, not a curated record